UCUUGUCGAACAGAAUGUUGCACACCGUUCUUUGCUUUUUUGUCGUCGAUAAUUGAGAAUUAAUUUUAGUAUAUAAACGACAGCGAUUCUACAGGUUAUCGUUAGUAUAAUAUCAAUUUUUGUAAUUUCUUGAAACUCUCAAUAAUAUUUAAAAAAAAUGACUUGUAAAGGUUGUGGAACAAAUUGUCAAUGCACUUCUACUAAGUGCGGAACUGGCUGCAAAUGCGAUGCUCAAUGCAAUUGUCCAUGCAAGUCACAAGAUAACGGAAAG
Molecule: long non-coding RNA, 271 nt
Organism: Bradysia coprophila
Lineage: Eukaryota; Metazoa; Arthropoda; Insecta; Diptera; Sciaridae
Source: RefSeq, a predicted model, not a curated record